CCUACGGGAGGCAGCAGUGAGGAAUAUUGGUCAAUGGGCGAGAGCCUGAACCAGCCAAGUCGCGUGAAGGAUGACGGCCCUACGGGUUGUAAACUUCUUUUGUCAGGGAGCAAUUGGGUCCACGCGUGGGCUUAGCGAGAGUACCUGAAGAAAAAGCAUGGGCUAACUCCGUGCCAGCAGCCGCGGUAAUACGGAGGAUGCGGGCGUUAUCCGGUUUUAUUGGGUUUAAAGGGUGCGUAGGCGGAAUAUCAAGUCAGCGGUAAAAAUUCGGGGCUAAACCCCGUCGUGCCGUUGAAACUGAUGUUCUGGAGUGGGCGAGAAGUAUGCGGAAUGCGUGGUGUAGCGGUGAAAUGCAUAGAUAUCACGCAGAACUCCGAUUGCGAAGGCAGCAUACCGGCGCCCAACUGACGCUGAAGCACGAAAGCGUGGGUAUCGAACAGGAUUAGAUACCCCAGUAGUC
This 460-nucleotide ribosomal RNA is filed under the name uncultured bacterium. Its description in RNAcentral is "partial 16S ribosomal RNA". It matches the Rfam family "Bacterial small subunit ribosomal RNA", at positions 338 to 795 of the family's 1533-position model. The record is from RNAcentral.